Molecule: unclassified non-coding RNA, 238 nt
Filed under: Hevea brasiliensis (rubber tree)
Lineage: Eukaryota; Viridiplantae; Streptophyta; Magnoliopsida; Malpighiales; Euphorbiaceae
Source: RNAcentral
UAAUCUGAACUACCACGAGCACUGUAUAAUUUGCACAAGAAAGUGACUGGAUAAGAUUUCUAGCGUAGCAGAACCAUUAGAUAAUAUAACAAUGAUAGUAAGAUAUAAAGAAUAAAAGUUAUCCUUGGCAAACCAUAGACCUGAAAAACUGACUUCCCAUGGCUCCUUGUUAACCCAUGGCUUCCUCUGAUAUUCCACCUCGCAGAUAAAUUUAGCAGUUCCAUAAUGCCAGUUGAUG